RNAcentral lists this transfer RNA (76 nucleotides) under Ignavibacteria bacterium. Its description in RNAcentral is "tRNA-Lys". It matches the Rfam family "tRNA". Rfam says of the family: Transfer RNA (tRNA) molecules are approximately 80 nucleotides in length. Their secondary structure includes four short double-helical elements and three loops (D, anti-codon, and T loops). Lineage: Bacteria; Pseudomonadati; Ignavibacteriota; Ignavibacteria. The record is from RNAcentral.
GCACCCUUAGCUCAGUUGGUAGAGCAACUGACUCUUAAUCAGUGGGUCGCGAGUUCGAGUCUCGCAGGGUGCACAA